Molecule: ribosomal RNA, 255 nt
Filed under: uncultured bacterium
Lineage: Bacteria
Description: partial 16S ribosomal RNA
Rfam family: Bacterial small subunit ribosomal RNA
Source: RNAcentral
UACGUAGGUGGCGAGCGUUGUCCGGAUUUAUUGGGCGUAAAGCGCGCGCAGGCGGUUCGCUCCGUCCGGUGUGAAAUCUCCCGGCUCACCUGGGAGGGGGCGGCUGGAGACUGGCGAACUGGAGGCAGGGAGAGGUCGGUGGAAUUCCCGGUGUAGUGGUGAAAUGCGUAGAGAUCGGGAGGAACACCAGUGGCGAAAGCGGCCGACUGGACCUGUCCUGACGCUGAGGCGCGAAAGCGUGGGGAGCGAACCGGG